RNAcentral lists this signal recognition particle RNA (148 nucleotides) under Chlorocebus sabaeus (green monkey). Its description in RNAcentral is "Metazoan signal recognition particle RNA". The stretch from base 46 to 148 matches the Rfam family "MIR1846 microRNA precursor family", at positions 1 to 86 of the family's 110-position model. Lineage: Eukaryota; Metazoa; Chordata; Mammalia; Primates; Cercopithecidae. The record is from Rfam by way of RNAcentral.
GCCGGGCGCGGUGGCUCAAGCCUGUAAUCCCAGCACUUUGGGAGGCCGAGACGGGCGGAUCACGAGGUCAGGAGAUCGAGACCAUCCUGGCUAACANUGUUAGCCAGGAUGGUCUCGAUCUCCUGACCUCGUGAUCCGCCCGUCUCGG